UUAAUAGGAACUCAACGAUAAAAAGAAAGACGAAAACGGAGUCCGUGUGAAGAAGUUACGAAUUUUACGUGGUCAUUUAACAGUGUAAUCUCCUCGUACUAUUAAAUAUAAGAUCGGUCGAGAAUUAGCCAACAGAGUCAUAAUGAAAGUUUUAGAUAUUAUUUUUACCUAUGCGUGGAUAUAAAGAACGUCGAAAAUGGAGCUCGUAUGAGAAAGUUAUGAAUUUUUGAAAAUCGGCUGAUUUCCACCCUGUGUGCGAUGCCACGCAUUAGCACUAGGCUGUGCCUGGGUGUCUCCAGCUNAAAGUUAUGAAUUUUUGAAAAUCGGUUGAUUUCCACCCUGUGUGCGAUGCCACGCGUUAGCACUAGGCUGUGCCUGGGUGUCUCCAGCUGGCUCACGAAGUGAGCAUCAAUGGUUCACGAUGUGAGUGACCCUCCAGCCCCCUAUAAAUAAGAGGUAAGGGCUCCAUUCUUCCUCACACCUUCCAACUUCUCUCUCUCUCU
RNAcentral lists this long non-coding RNA (503 nucleotides) under Lactuca sativa (garden lettuce). RNAcentral's name for it is "long non-coding RNA (LSAT_LNC009229)". The record is from RNAcentral. Lineage: Eukaryota; Viridiplantae; Streptophyta; Magnoliopsida; Asterales; Asteraceae.